RNAcentral lists this ribosomal RNA (1365 nucleotides) under bacterium KR 1998/3_110. RNAcentral describes it as "bacterial SSU rRNA". It matches the Rfam family "Bacterial small subunit ribosomal RNA", at positions 72 to 1445 of the family's 1533-position model. The record is from RNAcentral.
AGCCCAGCUUGCUGGGUGGAUUAGUGGCGAACGGGUGAGUAACACGUGAGUAACCUGCCCUUAACUCUGGGAUAAGCCUGGGAAACUGGGUCUAAUACCGGAUAGGAGCGUCCACCGCAUGGUGGGUGUUGGAAAGAUUUAUCGGUUUUGGAUGGACUCGCGGCCUAUCAGCUUGUUGGUGAGGUAAUGGCUCACCAAGGCGACGACGGGUAGCCGGCCUGAGAGGGUGACCGGCCACACUGGGACUGAGACACGGCCCAGACUCCUACGGGAGGCAGCAGUGGGGAAUAUUGCACAAUGGGCGAAAGCCUGAUGCAGCGACGCCGCGUGAGGGAUGACGGCCUUCGGGUUGUAAACCUCUUUCAGUAGGGAAGAAGCGAAAGUGACGGUACCUGCAGAAGAAGCACCGGCUAACUACGUGCCAGCAGCCGCGGUAAUACGUAGGGUGCGAGCGUUAUCCGGAAUUAUUGGGCGUAAAGAGCUCGUAGGCGGUUUGUCGCGUCUGUCGUGAAAGUCCGGGGCUUAACCCCGGAUCUGCGGUGGGUACGGGCAGACUAGAGUGCAGUAGGGGAGACUGGAAUUCCUGGUGUAGCGGUGGAAUGCGCAGAUAUCAAGGAGGAACACCGAUGGCGAAGGCAGGUCUUCUGGGCUGUAACUGACGCUGAGGAGCGAAAGCAUGGGGAGCGAACAGGAUUAGAUACCCUGGUAGUCCAUGCCGUAAACGUUGGGCACUAGGUGUGGGGACCAUUCCACGGUUUCCGCGCCGCAGCUAACGCAUUAAGUGCCCCGCCUGGGGAGUACGGCCGCAAGGCUAAAACUCAAAGGAAUUGACGGGGGCCCGCACAAGCGGCGGAGCAUGCGGAUUAAUUCGAUGCAACGCGAAGAACCUUACCAAGGCUUGACAUGUUCUCGAUCGCCGUAGAGAUACGGUUUCCCCUUUGGGGCGGGUUCACAGGUGGUGCAUGGUUGUUGUCAGCUCGUGUCGUGAGAUGUUGGGUUAAGUCCCGCAACGAGCGCAACCCUCGUUCCAUGUUGCCAGCACGUAAUGGUGGGGACUCAUGGGAGACUGCCGGGGUCAACUCGGAGGAAGGUGAGGACGACGUCAAAUCAUCAUGCCCCUUAUGUCUUGGGCUUCACGCAUGCUACAAUGGCCGGUACAAUGGGUUGCGAUACUGUGAGGUGGAGCUAAUCCCAAAAAGCCGGUCUCAGUUCGGAUUGGGGUCUGCAACUCGACCCCAUGAAGUCGGAGUCGCUAGUAAUCGCAGAUCAGCAACGCUGCGGUGAAUACGUUCCCGGGCCUUGUACACACCGCCCGUCAAGUCACGAAAGUUGGUAACACCCGAAGCCGGUGGCCUAACCCUUGUG